Vicia faba (fava bean) is the source of this 207-nucleotide non-coding RNA. The record is from the annotation of a GenBank genome assembly. Lineage: Eukaryota; Viridiplantae; Streptophyta; Magnoliopsida; Fabales; Fabaceae.
AUGACGCGACACAACUCUCCCAUCGGCGAUCUCCGAAACUUCCACGACCAUGAUCCAGUCCAGGUUUCCUUUUCCCUUUUUAUUGUGUUGUUUGCUUCAUAUGACUAUGCAGAAAGAGAGAAGAAGAGAAAUAAAGAUCUGAAACUCAACGUUCUCUUUCUUCAAUUACUUGCCCAACUGCAGAACCAAAACCCAACAGCAUUAUAA